RNAcentral lists this ribosomal RNA (164 nucleotides) under uncultured bacterium. RNAcentral's name for it is "partial 16S rRNA". It matches the Rfam family "Bacterial small subunit ribosomal RNA", at positions 355 to 511 of the family's 1533-position model. The record is from RNAcentral.
UAGGGAAUCUUCCACAAUGGGCGAAAGCCUGAUGGAGCAACGCCGCGUGUGUGAUGAAGGGUUUCGGCUCGUAAAACACUGUUGUAAGAGAAGAAUGACAUUGAGAGUAACUGUUCAUACGUUGACGGUAUUUAACCAGAAAGUCACGGCUAACUACGUGCCAC